UACGUAGGGGGCAAGCGUUGUCCGGAAUCAUUGGGCGUAAAGAGCGUGUAGGCGGUCCGGUAAGUCAGCUGUGAAAGUCAAGGGCUCAACCCUUGAAAGCCGGUUGAUACUGUCGGGCUCGAGUCCGGAAGAGGCGAGUGGAAUUCCUGGUGUAGCGGUGAAAUGCGCAGAUAUCAGGAGGAACACCUAUUGCGAAGGCAGCUCGCUGGGACGUAACUGACGCUGAGACGCGAAAGCGUGGGGAGCAAACAGG
Molecule: ribosomal RNA, 253 nt
Filed under: uncultured bacterium
Lineage: Bacteria
Description: partial 16S ribosomal RNA
Rfam family: Bacterial small subunit ribosomal RNA
Source: RNAcentral